Molecule: ribosomal RNA, 406 nt
Filed under: uncultured bacterium
Lineage: Bacteria
Description: partial 16S ribosomal RNA
Rfam family: Bacterial small subunit ribosomal RNA
Source: RNAcentral
AUUGAACGCUGGCGGCAGGCCUAACACAUGCAAGUCGAACGAGUGGCGGACGGGUGAGUAAUGUCUGGGAAACUGCCCGAUGGAGGGGGAUAACUACUGGAAACGGUAGCUAAUACCGCAUACCAUCGGAUGUGCCCAGAUGGGAUUGGCUAGUGGGUGGGGUAACGGCUCACCUAGGCGACGAUCCCUAGCUGGUCUGAGAGGAGGACCAGCAAAACGGGAACUGAGAAACGGUCCAGACUCCAACGGGAGGCAGCAGUGGGGAAUAUGGCACAAUGGGCGCAAGCCUGAUGCAGCAAUGCCGCGUGUAUGAAGAAGGCCUUCGGGUUGUAAAGUACUUUCAGCGAGGAGGCGGUACCCGCAGAAGAAGCCCCGGCUAACUCCGUGCCAGCAGCCGCGGUAAUUC